Molecule: unclassified non-coding RNA, 1046 nt
Filed under: Hevea brasiliensis (rubber tree)
Lineage: Eukaryota; Viridiplantae; Streptophyta; Magnoliopsida; Malpighiales; Euphorbiaceae
Source: RNAcentral
UUCAACUGUCUCUAUCUUUCUUGUCUAGAUUAGAGCUGUGUCUGUUAUUGUAGUUAAAGACACUAAGGGAUCAAACAAGCUGUGCUAUACAUACUAGCUAGAGCCAAAAGAUGCAGCUAAGAGAAUCCAUUCGGAAGAGCCACAAGACUCUCCAACAUCUCAAGUCUCUCUUCUUUGUAGGGUAUCAAAAACUGCCCAAGCCCUUCUCGUGUGCCACCAGCAGCAAAAAGAAUCACCAAACAGAUCAAUUCUACACUGACUUUUGCAACGAGUGGGAGUGUGAUCUAGAAAAGGCAAUGAAGAAGAAGAAGAAUGGUAUCACGCUAUCAAAAGAACUGGCAAGAGAAGAAGAUGGAUGUAAUGGAAGUUCCUUGGAGCGUCCAAGGAAUCCAUUGAAGAAGAAAGAAGUGGGAAUAAAGGAAGAGAAGAGCAAGAAAAGUUCAACUCUAAGAAAAGAAUACUCAAACAAGAAGGAUAAAGGAGGUUAUGCACUAGCAAAAAAGAUGAAGGAAUUGGAAAUGAUGGGUGGAAGUGAUAUGGAACAUGUGUUGGAUGUAGAAGAAGCACUUCACUAUUACUCUCGUCUUAAAAGUCCGGUAUAUCUUGACAUUGUUGACAACUUCUUCACUGAUAUGUACAAAGAAUUCUCUGUUCCACAGAGGUCUGCAAGCAUCAACAGUUCAAAGCAAAGACUUCGUUCAAUUAGGCUAUAGAUGGAUACUCAAGUUUGUGAGUUCUUCCUUGUGCACAUGCAUAUGUUUCCACUUUCUAAUUGUUCCUUUCAAUAUUACAUUUGAGUAUAUCUUAUUUUGCAUCGUUGAUUUGAUAUUCAGCUUUCUGGAUUGCUAUUCUUGAUACUGUCAGUUACUGAGAGAUGAAUGUAAGUUUUAGAAAGUAGGAAUUGAAAACUUUCCUUGCCUUAAAGGGCUGUUUAUUAAAAUGUCUAGCAGAUUAUCUUCUUAAAUAGAUGCAAUAAAUGUAGUCACAAGAUUUAUAGGAUUUAAAAUUCAUUUUUCGUAUGACAUAAGGGUGCUAGCCACUAGAUG